UCUUUCAAUUCUAGGGUUCUAAACUCGAUUUACUUUCAUCCGAUUAUGAUUAGUGCUUUUUUUCUUACAGAUCCUUGUAACCAUCCUGUUGAUGGAUUCUCUGCCCGUUUUGCUGACAAAAACAAUCUAUUUGAAUUGAAUGGAGCCUCACGAUUAUUGGGCUGCCUGAUAUAUUAUAUUUAAUUAGUAGAGACACACAUAUUUUCUUUUUUCGUGGGUAGAGCAUUUGUUACAGAUAUUGAGAAGUUUGGAUUGAGAAGCAAAGCAAGAUCGUUGGAGAUCAAAAGUUUAAUAGGCUUUUUUUCAGAGGUCGCAGAGGUUUGCCUUCAAAUUUCUUUCUUUAUUGGAUGAGUUAUGAAGUUGUUCAAUCUGUAGUAAUAUUCGUACGAACGUUUAUGUAGGAUUGAAUUUAGCCUGGUUCAAAUCUUUUGCAAUCAGUUGAAUACGUUGUAUUUGGGGUACAUUCUAUUAUCUGUUUUCACACUAUAAAUUUUAUACUGUAAAAAAAUCAUAUUCAGACUCCUAUUAAAGCGAUAUCGAAUAAAGGAGUUGUAUAUGUUGUUAGCAGCCUAUUGAGAAACAAUCUCUCCUUUAUUUUGGGAUCUUAUGUUGUCUCGUUCAUAUUUUCAAUGCCCUUUUGGGUCCCGAUAGACAAAAUACAAGGCAUCAGGGUAUUUCAAUUGAUGACAAGGCAGAAGUCAUGGAUAACACAGGUCUAGACAGACGGCAUGAGGUAGAAGGUAAUGUUAUGCAUAUUAUGAAGGCUUUGCCAAGUCAUCAUGCACCUGCUCAAAGUUUAAUUGAAGACAAUUCACUACAAUUACUUUUUGAGAUGGUUGCUAAUGGAUCUUUGAUAUUAAGUUCAAGAUAUAAAGAAGGUUUCAGCGGGCAGUGGCUUUUGUGGAUUCAAACCGGUUAUAUGAAUUCAAGAAUCACAAUCACAAAAUUAGAUGUUACAAUUAGAUACAUACACAUAUUCAAACACCGCUUU
Molecule: long non-coding RNA, 991 nt
Organism: Helianthus annuus (common sunflower)
Lineage: Eukaryota; Viridiplantae; Streptophyta; Magnoliopsida; Asterales; Asteraceae
Exons: 3
Source: RefSeq, a predicted model, not a curated record